AUAUUUCAUCUUUAUUUUAACAGGGGGUGAUGCUGAGACCAAAGUCUCUUUCAAAGAUAUAUACACUACACAUCAACACAUGUUCAUAUCACACACCAUAUCUACCUAGAUACAGUAAGAGGUUACUGGCUAGCUAGGUGACAUUACAGACAAUAUUACACACCAUAUCUACCUAGAUACAGUAAGAGGUUACUGGCUAGCUAGGUGACAUUACAGACAAUAUUACACACCAUAUCUACCUAGAUACAGUAAGAGGUUACUGGCUAGCUAGGGGACAUUACAGACAAUAUCACACACCAUAUCUACCUAGAUACAGUAAGAGGUUACUGGCUAGCUAGGGGACAUUACAGACAAUAUUACACACCAUAUCUACCUAGAUACAGUAAGAGGUUACUGGCUAGCUAGGUGACAUUACAGACAAUAUUACACACCAUAUCUACCUAGAUACAGUAAGAGGUUACUGGCUAGCUAGGGGACAUUACAGACAAUAUCACACACCAUAUCUACCUAGAUACAGUAAGAGGUUACUGGCUAGCUAGGGGACAUUACAGACAAUAUUACACACCAUAUCUACCUAGAUACAGUAAGAGGUUACUGGCUAGCUAGGGGACAUUACAGACAAUAUCACACACCAUAUCUACCUAGAUACAGUAAGAGGUUACUGGCUAGAUAGGUGACAUUACAGACAAUAGUACACACCAUAUCUACCUAGAUACAGUAAGAGGUUACUGGCUAGCUAGGGGACAUUACACAACAUAUCCCAGACUGAACUCAAGACCAGUGAUGUUGAAAGGCUUGCUAUAAAUAGCAGACCACUUUGAUUUUUCUUCCCUCCUUUCCUUACCUCCUCUAUUUCUCCCUGUUGUCUGUACUUAAAGCAGAGGUCAGAGGUCAGGUUAAAGCAGGAGGCUCUGUCGGUCUCUACUCCUGCAGGCUAUCAAGACUAAAUUGAGUCACAGCAUUUCUAUUCACUUGAGCGAGAUGAGUCUAUGAUCAUUCUACCUGCUAUGAUGAGUCUACUAAAUACAAUGGAUAAGUUUAUAUGUUUAGGAGUCAAGACAACCAAUAAAUAUAAUGAAUUACAAUGUUAGUUCUUAUCCCAAACCCACCCAAGAGUGAUGUUAGUUUUCCAUUCUAAGCUGCAGUUAAUUUCCUUACUGACUUCAUUACAGCUUGCAUAGCGAUGCACAGCGAUAGAUCAGCCACUCCCAGGUACUGUUCACUAUGACCUGUUGGGUCAGGCUGCUGCCU
Molecule: long non-coding RNA, 1251 nt
Organism: Oncorhynchus keta (chum salmon)
Lineage: Eukaryota; Metazoa; Chordata; Actinopteri; Salmoniformes; Salmonidae
Exons: 4
Source: RefSeq, a predicted model, not a curated record